RNAcentral lists this ribosomal RNA (609 nucleotides) under Nocardiopsis sp. SJKR0903. RNAcentral describes it as "bacterial SSU rRNA". It matches the Rfam family "Bacterial small subunit ribosomal RNA", at positions 64 to 676 of the family's 1533-position model. Lineage: Bacteria; Bacillati; Actinomycetota; Actinomycetes; Streptosporangiales; Nocardiopsidaceae. The record is from RNAcentral.
GAGCGGUAAGGCCCUUCGGGGUACACGAGCGGCGAACGGGUGAGUAACACGUGAGCAACCUGCCCCUGACUCCGGGAUAAGCGGUGGAAACGCCGUCUAAUACCGGAUAUGACCUGCCACCUCAUGGUGGCGGGUGGAAAGUUUUGUCGGUCAGGGAUGGGCUCGCGGCCUAUCAGCUUGUUGGUGGGGUAACGGCCUACCAAGGCGAUUACGGGUAGCCGGCCUGAGAGGGCGACCGGCCACACUGGGACUGAGACACGGCCCAGACUCCUGCGGGAGGCAGCAGUGGGGAAUAUUGCACAAUGGGCGAAAGCCUGAUGCAGCGACGCCGCGUGGGGGAUGACGGCCUUCGGGUUGUAAACCUCUUUUACCACCAACGCAGGCUCCACGUUUUCGUGGGGUUGACGGUAGGUGGGGAAUAAGGACCGGCUAACUACGUGCCAGCAGCCGCGGUAAUACGUAGGGUCCGAGCGUUGUCCGGAAUUAUUGGGCGUAAAGAGCUCGUAGGCGGCAUGUCGCGUCUGCUGUGAAAGACCGGGGCUUAACUCCGGUUCUGCAGUGGAUACGGGCAUGCUAGAGGUAGGUAGGGGAAACUGGAAUUCCUGGUGU